Molecule: ribosomal RNA, 404 nt
Filed under: uncultured bacterium
Lineage: Bacteria
Description: bacterial SSU rRNA
Rfam family: Bacterial small subunit ribosomal RNA
Source: RNAcentral
UGGGGAAUAUUGCACAAUGGGGGGAACCCUGAUGCAGCGACGCCGCGUGGGUGAAGGAGCACCUCGGUGCGUAAAGCCCUAUCGGCAGGGAAGAAACAGACGGUACCUGACUAAGAAGCCCCGGCUAACUACGUGCCAGCAGCCGCGGUAAUACGUAGGGGGCAAGCGUUAUCCGGAUUCACUGGGUGUAAAGGGAGCGUAGACGGCGACGCAAGUCUGGAGUGAAAGCCCGGGGCCCAACCCCGGGACUGCUCUGGAAACUGCGGCGCUGGAGUACGGGAGGGGCAGGCGGAAUUCCUGGUGUAGCGGUGAAAUGCGUAGAUAUCAGGAGGAACACCGGCGGCGAAGGCGGCCUGCUGGACCGUGACUGACGUUGAGGCUCGAGAGCGUGGGGAGCAAACAGG